This 22-nucleotide microRNA is filed under the name Schistosoma mansoni. RNAcentral's name for it is "sma-miR-2a-5p". Its record names the gene sma-miR-2a-5p. The record is from miRBase by way of RNAcentral. Lineage: Eukaryota; Metazoa; Platyhelminthes; Trematoda; Strigeidida; Schistosomatidae.
CAGUCAAUAUUGGCUGAAGGCA